AUUGAACGCUGGCGGCAGGCUUAACACAUGCAAGUCGAGCGGGGAAGGGUAGCUUGCUACCUGACCUAGCGGCGGACGGGUGAGUAAUGCUUAGGAAUUUGCCUAUUAGUGGGGGACAACAUUCCGAAAGGAAUGCUAAUACCGCAUACGCCCUACGGGGGAAAGCAGGGGAUUUUCGGACCUUGCGCUAAUAGAUGAGCCUAAGUCAGAUUAGCUAGUUGGUGGGGUAAAGGCCUACCAAGGCGACGAUCUGUAGCGGGUUUGAGAGGAUGAUCCGCCACACUGGGACUGAGACACGGCCCCGACUCCUACGGGAGGCAGCAGUGGGGAAUAUUGGACAAUGGGCGAAAGCCUGAUCCAGCCAUGCCGCGUGUGUGAAGAAGGCCUUUUGGUUGUAAAGCACUUUAAGCGAGGAGGAGGCUACUUGGAUUAAUACUCUAGGAUAGUGGACGUUACUCGCAGAAUAAGCACCGGCUAACUUUGUG
Molecule: ribosomal RNA, 485 nt
Filed under: uncultured bacterium
Lineage: Bacteria
Description: bacterial SSU rRNA
Rfam family: Bacterial small subunit ribosomal RNA
Source: RNAcentral